RNAcentral lists this ribosomal RNA (459 nucleotides) under uncultured bacterium. Its description in RNAcentral is "partial 16S ribosomal RNA". It matches the Rfam family "Bacterial small subunit ribosomal RNA", at positions 338 to 795 of the family's 1533-position model. The record is from RNAcentral.
CCUAGGGUGGCUGCAGUGAGGAAUAUUGGUCAAUGGGCGGAAGCCUGAACCAGCCAAGUCGCGUGAGGUAUGAAGGUUCUAUGGAUCGUAAACCUCUUUUAUAAGGGAAUAAAGUGUUGGACGUGUCCUGUUUUGUAUUUACCUUAUGAAUAAGGAUCGGCUCACUCCGUGCCAGCAGCCGCGGUAAUACGGAGGAUCCGAGCGUUAUCCGGAUUUAUUGGGUUUAAAGGGUGCGUAGGCGGCCUUUUAAGUCAGCGGUGAAAGUCUGUGGCUCAACCAUCGAAUUGCCGUUGAAACUGGGAGGCUGGAGUAUGUUAGGGGCAGGCGGAAUGCGUGGUGUAGCGGUGAAAUGCUUAGAGAUCACGCAGAACCCCGAUUGCGAAGGCAGCCUGCCAAGCCAUGACUGACGCUGAUGCACGAAAGCGUGGGGAUCAAACAGGAUUAGAUACCCUUGUAGUC